UACAGAGGUCCCAAGCGUUGUUCGGAUUCAUUGGGCGUAAAGGGUGCGUAGGUGGUAGACUAAGUCGGAUGUGAAAUCCCAGGGCUCAACCCUGGAACUGCAUUCGAUACUGGCCUGCUUGAGGACUGGAGAGGAGAUUGGAAUUUAUGGUGUAGCAGUGAAAUGCGUAGAUAUCAUAAGGAAGACCAGUGGCGAAGGCGGAUCUCUGGACAGUUCCUGACACUGAGGCACGAAGGCUAGGGGAGCGAACGGG
RNAcentral lists this ribosomal RNA (253 nucleotides) under uncultured bacterium. Its description in RNAcentral is "partial 16S ribosomal RNA". It matches the Rfam family "Bacterial small subunit ribosomal RNA", at positions 524 to 776 of the family's 1533-position model. The record is from RNAcentral.